RNAcentral lists this ribosomal RNA (253 nucleotides) under uncultured bacterium. Its description in RNAcentral is "partial 16S ribosomal RNA". It matches the Rfam family "Bacterial small subunit ribosomal RNA", at positions 524 to 776 of the family's 1533-position model. The record is from RNAcentral.
UACGGAGGUUGCAAGCGUUAUCCGGAAUCACUGGGUUUAAAGGGUGCGUAGGCGGCUUGGUAAGUCAGAGGUGAAAGCUUCCCGCUUAACGGGAGAACUGCCUUUGAUACUGCCAGGCUUGAAUCGGCGCGAGGCAGGCGGAAUGUGACAUGUAGCGGUGAGAUGCUUAGAUAUGUCAUAGAACACCGAUUGCGAAGGCAGCCUGCCAGAGCCGAAUUGACGCUGAGGCACGAAAGCGUGGGGAGCGAACAGG